This 82-nucleotide transfer RNA is filed under the name bacterium. RNAcentral's name for it is "tRNA-Leu". It matches the Rfam family "tRNA". Rfam says of the family: Transfer RNA (tRNA) molecules are approximately 80 nucleotides in length. Their secondary structure includes four short double-helical elements and three loops (D, anti-codon, and T loops). Further hydrogen bonds mediate the characteristic L-shaped molecular structure. tRNAs have two regions of fundamental functional importance: the anti-codon, which is responsible for specific mRNA codon recognition, and the 3' end, to which the tRNAs corresponding amino acid is attached (by aminoacyl-tRNA synthetases). tRNAs cope with the degeneracy of the genetic code in two manners: having more than one tRNA (with a specific anti-codon) for a particular amino acid; and 'wobble' base-pairing, i.e. permitting non-standard base-pairing at the 3rd anti-codon position. The record is from RNAcentral. RNAcentral also lists the same sequence under 2 other names.
GCGGAUGUGGUGAAACUGGAAAACACGUAGGAUUUAGAAUCCUAUGCCGAAAGGCUUGUGGGUUCGAGUCCCACCGUCCGCA